CCUACGGGUGGCAGCAGUCGAGAAUCAUUCACAAUGGGAGAAACCCUGAUGGUGCGACGCCGCGUGGGGGAAUGAAGGUCUUCGGAUUGUAAACCCCUGUCAUGUGGGAGCAAAUUAAAAAGAUCGUACCACAAUAGGAAGAGACUGCUAACUCUGUGCCAGCAGCCGCGGUAAUACAGCGGUCUCAAGCGUUGUUCGGAAUCACUGGGCGUAAAGCGUGCGUAGGCUGUUUCGUAAGUCGUGUGUGAAAGGCGCGGGCGCAACCCGCGGACGGCACAUGAUACUGCGAGACUAGAGUAAUGGAGGGGGAACCGGAAUUCUCGGGGUAGCAGUGAAAUGCGUAGAUAUCGAGAGGAACACUCGGGGCGAAGGCGGGUUCCUGGACAGUAACUGACGCUGAGGCACGAAGGCCAGGGGAGCGAAAGGGAUUAGAUACCCUUGUAGUC
RNAcentral lists this ribosomal RNA (446 nucleotides) under uncultured bacterium. RNAcentral's name for it is "partial 16S ribosomal RNA". It matches the Rfam family "Bacterial small subunit ribosomal RNA", at positions 338 to 795 of the family's 1533-position model. The record is from RNAcentral.